AUGGGGCCUGUGCUCAGGCAGAAAGCUCGGGGGGAGGGGGAGGGAGAGAGGGAAGGGGAGGGAGAGGGAGGGAAGGGGGAAGAAGAGGGGGAGGGGAGAGGGAGGGAAGGGGGGAAGGGGAGGGAGAGGGGAGGGGGAGGGGAGGGAGAGGGGGAGGGAGGGAGAGAGGGGGAGGGAGAGAGGGAGGGAGAGAGGGAGGAGGAGGAGGGAGAGGGGGAGGGGAGAGGAGGAGGAGGGAGAGAGGGAAGGGGAGGGGAGAGGGAGGGGGAGGGAGGGAGAGGGAGGGGGAGGGGGAGGGAGGGAGAGAGGGAGGAGGAGGAGGGAGAGGGAGGGGGAGGGAGGGAGAGGGAGGGAGAGGGAGGGAGAGAGGGAGGGAGAGAGGGGGAGGGGAGAGGGGGAGGGGAGAGGGGGAGGGAGGAGGAGGGAAGGGGAGGGGAGAGGGGGAGGGGAGAGGGGGAGGGAGGGAGAGAGGGAAGGGGAGAGGGAGGGGGAGGGAGGGAGAGAGGGGAGGGGGAGGGGGAGGGAGAGGGAAGGAAGAGAGGGGGAGGGGAGAGGGGGAGGGAGAGGGGGAGGGAGAGAGGGAAGGGGAGGGGAGAGGGAGGGGAAGGGGAGGGAGAGGGGGAGGGAGGAGGGAAGGGGAGGGAGGGAGAGAGGGAGGAGGAGGAGGGAGAGAGGGAGGGAGAGGGAGGGGGGAGAGGAGGAGGAGGAGGGAGAGGGGGAGGGAGGGAGAGAGGGAGGGAGAGGGGGAGGGAGGAGGGAAGGGGAGAGGGAGGGGGAGGGAGGGAGAAGGGGAGGGAGAGAGGGGAGGGGGAGGGGAGAGGGAGGGAGAGGGAGGGGGAGGGAGGGAGAGGGAGGGGGAGGGAGAGGGAGGGGGAGGGGGAGGGAGAGAGGGAGGAGGAGGAGGGAGAGGGAGGGAGAGGGAGGGGGAGGGGAGAGGGAAAGGGGGAAGAAGAGGGGGAGGGGAGAGGGAGGGGAAGGGGAGGGGAGAGGGAGAGAGGGGAGGGGAGGGGAGAGGGGGAGGGGAGAGGGAAGGGGAGGGGAGAGGAGGAGGAGGGAGAGAGGGGGAGGGGGAGGAGGGACAAUGGCAGCUCACCCGGGGCUGCUGCUUCCAGUGUCAGCUGUGUCCCGUUCCGCCGUCUCGUGGUCCCUCUCCUGUCCCCUCUCCUGUCCCUUCAGAUGGCCGUUCGUCUCUUCCCUGGCUCGUCGGCUCGUUUCCCUCUCCACGUGCCCCGUUGCCACCGCUCCGCGUCGCUGGAAGCAGAACGCAGACCCACGGUUUAG
RNAcentral lists this long non-coding RNA (1281 nucleotides) under Felis catus (domestic cat). RNAcentral describes it as "lncRNA (ENSFCAG00000048649.1)". Lineage: Eukaryota; Metazoa; Chordata; Mammalia; Carnivora; Felidae. The record is from RNAcentral.